CCAGUCGAGGUCUCCACAGGGUUCACAGCGGUCCCAACAGUGUUGCUUCCAUUGUUCACAUCAUCAUUUCCAUGUGACGCCAUUUAACCUUAGAACACGCAACAAACAAUUUAGAAUAAUUAUAGAUUUGAGAUCAAGUUAUCUGUUCGAGAAAAAUAAACUGUAAAACCAAAACCACGCAAGCAUGAACUAAGAAACUUCUUGUAAACCAAUUAUUUUUUCUUUCGACCUUACUGAUUUAAACCUAAUAAAUUUACUGCACGUAAUUAAAUAGAUAGAUUGUCAGCCUUUUUUCCUAAAGGACAAAUUAAGUAAACAGCAAACAACUGGAGGUGAAAAAAAAAAGACGACAGGAAAAAAAAAACCGAUUCUCAAAAUUUCCCGAAAUGAGAAUUUCGAUUUAAGCUUGUAGGGAAAAAUUGGAGAAUCAGAAUAAAUCAACCAAAACCGAAGGCCCG
RNAcentral lists this long non-coding RNA (458 nucleotides) under Olea europaea (common olive). RNAcentral describes it as "long non-coding RNA (OEUR_LNC007977)". The record is from RNAcentral. Lineage: Eukaryota; Viridiplantae; Streptophyta; Magnoliopsida; Lamiales; Oleaceae.